Carassius auratus (goldfish) is the source of this 1551-nucleotide long non-coding RNA. The record is from Ensembl. Lineage: Eukaryota; Metazoa; Chordata; Actinopteri; Cypriniformes; Cyprinidae.
AUGGCAUCUUACACAGUGGUCAUUGUCCCUCUCAGGAACAGUCCUAACAGUCUGGAUGCAUUGCAGUUCUUCCUUUGGGUGAAGAAGAUGAAGGACUUGGAGAGGGAAAAGGACCUUUUGUGGAUUGGAUUGCAGGCUUUAGAGCAGGUGCGAGAGAAAUUAUGCUACAACCCAGAAGACCACAUGGAAGUGCAAGACCAAUUCAAGAAAGGACAGAUGAGAAAAGUGUUUCCAGACACCUCCACCCUACUGUUGGCUCAGAUCCACAGAGUGAACAGGACCUUGAGGAAUCUACUGUGUGACUCCAGGAAUCCCACUGAUCCUGCAAUAGAAGGUACUGAAGGACAUCAGCCCUCUCCUACCGAUUCAGAAGAAAGUGCUAGUUUUUAAUCAGCUAUUUGUUUUGAAUUUCUAUACUGUAUUUUCCUGUAUUGUGUGCUUGCUGAAUGUAUUCUGAGUGGAUUGAAAUGAUCAUUUUAAGUGCAAUAUAUGAAAAUUGCUUACUUGAUUGGAUUUCCAAAACAUGGCAUACAACUCGCACACUGCUUUGUAUGUUUUAUUCAAGAAUUCGGUGAAGUCGACUUGGCGAAACUUUCCAUUUCCAUUGUCCUUCCAGGAAUUAAUAUACUAAAGGUUUAUUAACUGCGCUCUGCCAUUUAGUUUCUGAUACUAUUUUUGCAAUGGUAAAUUUAUACAUGCAAAGAAAUUAGAUCAUGUGAGCAUUUUUUUCUUUUUGUCAGUAUACUGCAUUUAUAUUUGACUAUUUUUGUAUUUAUUAAUGCAUAUUUAAAUCGGCAGGUUUUUUUUCUGCGUGUGAAAUUGAUGAGCACAAAAAAAAGUAAUGUAAAAGAGAUUAAAUUUGAAAGCUCAUUCAUUCAGCAGUUCUUAAAUAUCGAGUUAAUGAGUUAUCCAAGUCAACAGCGAUUAUCAUGGAAAGAAAGACAACACUGAGUGCAUAACAGUGGCCAUUCCUCCACACCUUAGCCUUUUUUGACAUGUCACCUGUCAUCCUGGUCCCAGAAUUUCCUCUCAUGGCCACCCAAGGGGUUAAUAUGAAAGCUGUUCCUGCCACAGCCAGCCUAGAGAUUCCUGUCUCAGCCUCUCCAUUCCUCAGCUUAUCAUCUGCCAGACUGACAUCAGUGGCCUUUUACAAGUCUUAGCAUCUUCCAAAGCUAGCCUUGGUAGUCUGGUGCCUUGGUUUGAGGCAGUAUCAUUACAGCAUACUUUAACAAUAUAGUAAUUGUGCAGUUGGUUCAGUAGUUUAUAUAAAUAUAUUUCAAUAGUUUAAAUAAUCAAAACUUUAAAAAAUAUUCUGCCAUACACUUUAAAAGCAUAGUUUAUUUAAAUUAUAUCACUACAGCAUACAGUAUUUAUUUAUAUAACAAUAUGGCAUACAGUAGUUCACAGCAUAGUUUAACAUUGCACAAUUGAAAAUAAUAUCACUCAGAAAUAUGGCUUGAUUAAUGUUUUUAUUUAUUUUAUAUAUUGUGUUUAAUGUGCUGAAUAAAAUGUAAAAUUGUUGAGUGAGAGGUUGUCACCGUUCAUAUAAUG